UUCUUGGUUCUGGUUGUUAGCAGACACAAGAGAGAGGUGUGAGAUGCAGCCAAGCUGGAGAGCCUCGGGGAGAAGAGGUGUGGACUGUGGAGUUAUUCUUUCAAGGCCAAUAACACUUCAUUCUGUAAUAGGUGCGUUUUAGUCUGCUCGCGGAGACAAAGAGGCUGUUCGGUGACAAAAAGUCACGAAACUGCAGUUUCCUGGCAUCAGACAUGAGAAUGGAGAUAUUAUGAUAGUUCUAUUCUGUUUGUUGAAGAGGGACGUGGUUUUUAAGAUCCAAUCAAAUAAGAUGUAUCUUAAAUUAGAUAUGUACACAAGGAGAUAGUUGAACCAGAUGGUGUUUUGACGACUACCAGGUAAAUUCUAUCUGAUGUUUUGUAUAUGGCUAGUUGGUUUCCAUGAGGAAGGAUGAUGCAACUUUUUUUUUUUCAUCUCUUCUCAAUUUUUUUAAUGUCAGGGUGCCGAACGGACCGGUUGGGUCGGAUAUGGGACGGGUGAAUAACUGGUAAUGGAAAAACGGAUAAAUUAUCCGACAUGACCCACAUUUAAUACGGAUAGAGAACGGGUUAACCGACGGAUAAUGAUAAUAUAAGUAACUAUAUUAUCCAUGACUUCUUGAAUAUGAUCACUUUUGAGAGACUUCUUAGUCUUUCAAACUUGAGGAACCCCCAAUUUGAGGCUUUACAAAUAUAAAAGUUAAAACACAUUAGUUAUCCAUUGAUUAACAUUUUUUAAAUGGAUAAUAUGGCUCUUUAUCCAUAUUUGACCCGUUUCAAAAAUUCAUUAUCCAACCCAUUUUUAGUAGAUAAUAUGGGUGGUUAACUGAUUUCUUUUAACCAUUUUACCACCUCUACUAUGAAGUAUUUAGGUGAUAGGGUUACGAGAUAUGUCUGUUAUCAGAAUAUUUGAAGACUGAUCUCCAUAUGCUUGUUAAGUUGUUCUGUUGUUGGGUCAUAUUUACACAUUUUAGGUUCAUAUCUUUU
This 983-nucleotide long non-coding RNA is filed under the name Nicotiana benthamiana. Its description in RNAcentral is "long non-coding RNA (NBEN_LNC027767)". Lineage: Eukaryota; Viridiplantae; Streptophyta; Magnoliopsida; Solanales; Solanaceae. The record is from RNAcentral.